RNAcentral lists this small RNA (29 nucleotides) under Bombyx mori (domestic silkworm). RNAcentral describes it as "ovarian small RNA-6427". The record is from RNAcentral. Lineage: Eukaryota; Metazoa; Arthropoda; Insecta; Lepidoptera; Bombycidae.
UAGGUGUAUGCAUGAUAUUAGGUGAUGUC